Molecule: long non-coding RNA, 365 nt
Organism: Panicum virgatum (switchgrass)
Lineage: Eukaryota; Viridiplantae; Streptophyta; Magnoliopsida; Poales; Poaceae
Exons: 2
Source: RefSeq, a predicted model, not a curated record
GCGCCGGCACCGGCAAGGACGUGCGGGAGCCCAUCAAGCUCCACACCGUGCAGCGCGUUGAGGUCAGGUCCAGAGGCGGAGAUAAUCCUACCGUGCCAGAUGGAUCGCACGCUGGGGUCAACUAGGGACUGCUGAGCGGACGCCGUGGAUGUACAACUUCCUUGCCUGCCGCUCUCGCUGUGUCACGACAUUUAUUUGCUAGCUAGUGCUCUCAACUCUGAAUGUAAUGUUUUUUUAUUUACAGAAAAUAAAGUUCCUUUGUAAGCCGUGCGAGUCGGUGACCUCGCAUUUCAAAUCCUGCGAUUGUGCUCGCCAGCAUUUUUGAAUCUGUGUAUGACCAUGUAAUGUUGAUUAGUUGAUUUAUA